ACACAUGCAAGUCGAACGCGAAAGCCCGCAAGGGUAAGUAGAGUGGCGCACGGGUGAGUAACACGUGGACAACCUGCCUUCGAGUGGGGAAUAACCUUCCGAAAGGAGGGCUAAUACCGCAUAACAUCUCGGAGCACAAGUUCUGGGGUUGAAAAGAGCAAUUUGCUCGAAGAGGGGUCCGCGCCUGAUUAGCUAGUUGGUGAGGUAAUGGCUCACCAAGGCUUCGAUCAGUAGCCGUCCUGAGAGGGAGCACGGCCACACUGGAACUGAGACACGGUCCAGACUCCUACGGGAGGCAGCAGUGGGGAAUUUUUGGCAAUGGGCGAAAGCCUGACCAAGCAACGCCGCGUGGGUGAUGAAGUAUCUUGGUACGUAAAACCCUUUCGGCAGGGACGAACCUAAUGACGGUACCUGCGGAAGAAGCCCCGGCUAACUCCGUGCCAGCAGCCGCGGUAAUACGGGGGGGGCAAGCGUUGUUCGGAAUUACUGGGCGUAAAGGGCGCGUAGGCGGUUGGAUAAGUCAGCUGUGAAAACCACGGGCUUAACUCGUGGCCUGCAGUUGAGACUGUCUGGCUUGAGUGUGGGAGAGGAGAGUGGAAUUCCUGGUGUAGCGGUGAAAUGCGUAGAUAUCAC
This 633-nucleotide ribosomal RNA is filed under the name uncultured soil bacterium. RNAcentral describes it as "bacterial SSU rRNA". It matches the Rfam family "Bacterial small subunit ribosomal RNA", at positions 51 to 700 of the family's 1533-position model. The record is from RNAcentral.